Long non-coding RNA from Oncorhynchus tshawytscha (Chinook salmon), 361 nucleotides. The record is from Ensembl. NCBI's taxonomy places the organism in Eukaryota, Metazoa, Chordata, Actinopteri, Salmoniformes, Salmonidae.
AUGGACCAUCAUGCACCAUAAUUUAAAAACUGUGUAAAGUGAUAAAACAGUGACUUCAUAUUUCUAUUCCAAGAACGUGGAAAGGCACAGCGCUCACUCAAACAUAUCAUGUACUUAGACUUUAACUUCAACCUGGAGCUAAUUAUUAAGCCCAGGAUGAAUGUAAAUAUUAUCAUGAACAUGGUGCAGGUGUCAUGUUGGUAUCAUGGUGCAAGUGUCAUGAUGGUAACAUGGUGCAGGUGUCAUGAUGGUAACAUGGUGCAGGAAUUGUGACUAACUUAACCGUUCAACAACUGUUAUGUCUCAACCAUUGUCUGAUCCUUUUAUUGUGUGUUCUUUCAGUGGCCAAACCUGUUUGUGU